UACGUAGGGGGCGAGCGUUGUCCGGAUUUAUUGGGCGUAAAGAGCUCGUAGGCGGUUUGGUAAGUCGGGUGUGAAAUCUCCACGCUCAACGUGGAGGGGCCACUCGAUACUGCCAUGACUCGAGUCCGGUAGAGGAGUGUGGAAUUCCCGGUGUAGCGGUGAAAUGCGCAGAUAUCGGGAGGAACACCCGUAGCGAAGGCGGCUCUCUGGGCCGGAACUGACGCUGAGGAGCGAAAGCGUGGGGAGCAAACAGG
Molecule: ribosomal RNA, 254 nt
Filed under: uncultured bacterium
Lineage: Bacteria
Description: partial 16S ribosomal RNA
Rfam family: Bacterial small subunit ribosomal RNA
Source: RNAcentral